Molecule: ribosomal RNA, 625 nt
Filed under: uncultured bacterium
Lineage: Bacteria
Description: bacterial SSU rRNA
Rfam family: Bacterial small subunit ribosomal RNA
Source: RNAcentral
UGGGCCCGCGGCGCAUUAGCUAGUUGGUGGGGUAAAGGCUUACCAAGGCAAUGAUGCGUAGCCGAACUGAGAGGUUGAUCGGCCACAUUGGGGCUGAGACACGGCCCAAACUCCUACGGGAGGCAGCAGUAGGGAAUCUUCCACAAUGGGCGAAAGCCUGAUGGAGCAACGCCGCGUGGGUGAAGAAGGUCUUCGGAUCGUAAAACCCUGUUGUUAGAGAAGAAAGUGCGUGAGAGUAACUGUUCACGUUUCGACGGUAUCUAACCAGAAAGCCACGGCUAACUACGUGCCAGCAGCCGCGGUAAUACGUAGGUGGCAAGCGUUAUCCGGAUUUAUUGGGCGUAAAGGGAACGCAGGCGGUCUUUUAAGUCUGAUGUGAAAGCCUUCGGCUUAACCGGAGUAGUGCAUUGGAAACUGGGAGACUUGAGUGCAGAAGAGGAGAGUGGAACUCCAUGUGUAGCGGUGAAAUGCGUAGAUAUAUGGAAGAACACCAGUGGCGAAAGCGGCUCUCUGGUCUGUAACUGACGCUGAGGUUCGAAAGCGUGGGUAGCAAACAGGAUUAGAUACCCUGGUAGUCCACGCCGUAAACGAUGAAUGCUAAGUGUUGGAGGGUUUCCGCCCUUCA